GGGAAAACCAAAAAUUGCGAAGAAGCCUCCCUAAUACCAAAAUUCCUACUCUUACUUUCCAUGCAACGAUACUCUAAUAUUCUCUGUCGUUUAGUACUUAAAACUAGCCGAUUCACGUGAGCUGCGCCUCUCCAGUGGUCAACGCUGGUCACUAUUGUUGUCGUUCUUGUUCUUCGUGUAAUUGCUUAGAAAAGUGAAUGUGAUUUUCCCUUUUUUCUCUUCUGGUGGAUUAUGCGUAUUUUUUUUGGAUGGGAGAUGCAGAGAGUUGCAGUAGCAGAGCAGUGGAUUUUGUGCCCAGUCAGUGUCGAAACCAGAGGCAAACGUUUGAGGUAUAUAACGAAGUUCUUUGUCGACUCAGGGACUCCAAUGAUGAAGAGGCAAGGCUUCCUGGCUUUGAAGACCGUCUCUGGGCUCAUUUUUGUAGACUUCCUACUAGGUAUGCACUGGAUGUAAAUGCAGAGAGGGCACAAGAUGUUCUCAUGCAUAAGAGAUUACUUCAGCAGGCACAUGAUCCUGCUACUAGGCCUGCAAUUGAAGUCCGCCUUGUGCAGGUUCAUUCUAUCUGUGAUGGAAAUUGUGGCAACUCUGUUCGUUCACACUCUCCAGGAGAAGUGGAACUUCAAUAUUAUGAUCAUAUGUGCAAGCAGAGCAUUCUUCCACCGCCAGCCUUUGGUUCAUUGCCUGAGCUUGAACUUAUAUGUGAAGCUCGAGAGAAGGAUACCAACUUGAUUACCAAUCCACUUUACUCUAGGCUGAUGCAUGAAAUUACAAUUUCAACUAAUGAUAAACCAAAACUUCUCAGUCAGUUGACUUCCUUGCUGUCUGAGAUUGGUCUGAACAUUAAAGAAGCACAUGCCUUUUCCACAAUGGAUGGCUACUCCUUGGAUGUGUUUGUUGUUGAUAACUGGGAACAUGAGGAGACUGAGAAGCUGAAAAAUGUGCUGCUAAAGGAAAUUAAAAAAUUCGAGGUAGUCACUGUACAUGCUACUUGUUGGUCACAGUUGAUAAUAGGAAUUAUAUUUUUUAGAGGCAAAUAACUCUCUUUUUCCCUGUGCUUCUAAAAAUGUUUUGGCUUAAGCUUAAACUAUCCUUGUCGAUCCCAUGUCUGUAUCAUUCAAUUCCAUUAGAUAAUAAAAUAUCCAGGAUAAAUAAUUCCUGUUGUUAAAUGCUCCCUUUUGUUUGUUUUCAAAUGUUUAUAUGAAAAUUCCGGCUUUGAUGCUGCUCAUCCUCACCAUUUUUCACCACUUAAUUGCAGAGUAAAAUAAAUAACUAGAAAAGAAAAAAAGAAUUGAAGUAUUAACAUUGGGGAACUCACUGUAAACUGUUGCAACCUUGUAGUUGUGGCCAUCCUUGAUGAUCCAACUGCAAGUCAUCAAUUCCCUAUUUGAUUCUAGGAUGGACUUAUCAUGGAAUGACUCUGAUUGCUAUAAACCUACUCUGGCACAUUCUAUUUCACUAUUCUAUUUAUAGUUCCAUGUUAAUCCGUGGUAAAGGAAUAAUGCUAAUUAUAAUGAAUUUGAUGCAGUUUUAUAAAUCUUUUUAGCGGUGCAUCUUUUUAUACUUGAUAAUAUGAAGUGCAAUGCAGAAGUAUACUCGGUUGAAAUCUAAUGCCAUCUAUCCUGUUGUGGAGCGAGAGCAAAAUGGGACGAUCAGUGGUAUCUGUAAUCAUGCCAACAUACCUGCCAACCAAAUGGAUGUUUGGGAAAUUGAUGCAAGUCUGUUGAAAUAUGAAAACAAAAUUGCAUCAGGAUCCUAUGGGGAUCUGUAUAAAGGUACGUUCUGCGGUCAAGAUGUGGCUAUCAAAGUUCUUAGGACUGAACAUCUAAAUGAUAAAUUGCGAAGGGAAUUUGCUCAAGAAGUAUUUAUCAUGAGGUUGAUCGUACAAUUUUAGUUUCGGUUGUUUAUGCUUUCAUCACAAUGACUACCAUAACCAUGCUUAUAUAUGUGGACAGUGCUUUUAAAGAUACUAUCUCAAUGUGCUGGGUUGAUUCCCUUGGGAAUCUUUAAGAAAAUAUAUGCUGUGAUCUGCACCCUACUGUUAGAACUUUCGUCCUCCUUGAGACUUAUUGGAAAUUUGCAGGAGAGUCCGGCACAAGAAUGUUGUACAAUUUAUUGGUGCAUGUACCAGACCUCCGACCCUGUGUAUUGUGACAGAAUUUAUGUGUGGUGGAAGCAUGUUUGACUUUCUGCAUAAACAAAAGCAAAGUUUUAAUCUCCAGUCCUUGCUCAGAGUAGCAAUUGAUGUUUCCAAGGGAAUGAACUACUUGCACCAAAAUAAUAUAAUACAUAGAGAUCUGAAAGCUGCCAAUUUUUUGAUGGAUGAAAAUAGGGUGGUUAAGGUUGCUGAUUUUGGUGUUGCUAGAGUGAAGGCUCAAUCUGGAGUUAUGACAGCUGAAACUGGGACCUAUAGAUGGAUGGCUCCUGAGGUCAUCGAACACAAACCAUAUGACCACAAGGCUGAUGUUUUUAGUUUUGGGAUUGUAUUAUGGGAGUUGUUAACCGGAAAGGUAUUGUUGCUCAUCAAACUUUGUCUAGUUUCAUUGGAGGUAUUUUUAUCUCUGAGUUGUAGAUGUAUUUUUGGCUCACAGCUUCCAUAUGAGUACUUAACCCCAUUGCAAGCAGCUGUUGGUGUGGUCCAAAAGGUACAACAUCUUUGGCGCAAGUCCACAUCUGCUGAAAUCUUGUUCAUAAUAUAUCCAAUGGAGAGUUUGCAAGAGUAUUUGCAAUUAUAUAAUUACUUCAUGAUUUAUUUCACAUGCUGCUUUCAUUGACAUGAUUUCAGGGUUUACGACCAACAACUCCGAAGCACACUCAUCCAAAGCUGUCUGAGCUGCUUGAGAAAUGCUGGCAGCAAGAUCCAGCACUACGACCAGACUUCACUGAGAUCAUAGAGAUUCUGCAGCAAAUAGCGAAGGAGGUUGGGGAAGAAGGCGAGGGGCGCAAGGACAAAUCAUCCGGAGGAUUCCUAUCUGUGUUACGAAGGGGGCACCACCACUGAAGUAGAACGGAGGUAUAAAGAUGUUCAUAAGCUGAUGAAGAAAAGGUCUAAUUGAUGUGAGCCAUCUUUUCAUCUAUCUGGUCAUCAACGUGGUAAUAACAUUUUGUCCAAAUAAUCAAUCUUAUUUAAUAUUUUUGGGGAAUUCGAUACCAUUUUCACAUGGUUCGAUCACAGCAUUAAAUUAUGCAGUGAGGGGUUGUGCGGACGAGCUUUGUAAGAGUAACAAACCAGAUAUUUAGCGGCCUAAUAAUACACCAAAUAGUGUUCUUAUGAUUUUAUUAACAAUUCCUAUCGUUUGAUUAUUGCAAUCGCC
This 3311-nucleotide unclassified non-coding RNA is filed under the name Hevea brasiliensis (rubber tree). The record is from RNAcentral. Lineage: Eukaryota; Viridiplantae; Streptophyta; Magnoliopsida; Malpighiales; Euphorbiaceae.